This 206-nucleotide ribosomal RNA is filed under the name uncultured Sedimentibacter sp. RNAcentral describes it as "partial 16S ribosomal RNA". It matches the Rfam family "Bacterial small subunit ribosomal RNA", at positions 568 to 774 of the family's 1533-position model. Lineage: Bacteria; Bacillati; Bacillota; Tissierellia. The record is from RNAcentral.
UGAGUAGGCGGUAAUAUGUGUCAGAUGUAAAAGGCUAUGGCUUAACCAUGGUUGGCAUUUGAAACUGUAUUACUUGAGUGCAGGAGAGGUAAGUGGAAUUCCUAGUGUAGCGGUGAAAUGCGUAGAUAUUAGGAGGAACACCAGUGGCGAAGGCGACUUACUGGACUGUAACUGACGCUGAGUCACGAAAGCGUGGGUAGCAAACA